Molecule: long non-coding RNA, 2442 nt
Filed under: Homo sapiens (human)
Lineage: Eukaryota; Metazoa; Chordata; Mammalia; Primates; Hominidae
Description: HSALNT0242609
Source: RNAcentral
GGCCUAGACCACAAGAUAGGGAAGCUAAAGGAAAAGAUCAAGAAGAAGCGGAAGGAACAUCACUUUUAGCUGCUGCCCCAGAAGAUGUACAUGCAAAGCCACAUAUCAGAGAUGAAAAGGAGGAGCUCAAGCCUGAACUGGAGGAACUAUCAUGAACAUGAAUUGAAAGGUCAGCAAGAGCGUGCAUGAGCUGCUACAGCACAUGGUGCCCCAAGACUGGCCUUCUAAACAUACACUACUAUGGCUGCUCCCUCUAGUCUGCCUUCCAAAUUUCAUGCAAAAUAUUUCUAGAGAACACAAACACAAAACUAUUUAAGAAGCGGAAUUCUGCAGAAUAGUUCCUUCUAUAAUGAUCAGAGACAAAGCAGUGUUUUUCAUAAUAAUUGAAACCACUGAGAUCUUUGGUCUUGGCUAAUUGAUUAUGUUAUCCUUGGGACUAAAGUAAAACGGCAGCAAAUCAGAAUCUAGCUUUUAUCAGUGAGAAAAGCUCUAGGUCAAAGAGAAAUGUGUCUUUCCUUGUCAAAAUAGAUUUGCAGCCCCAACUGGUUCCCAAACUUGAGCCAGUUUGCUGAUCCAGACUUAGUUGAAUGAACAGGAAGCCAGGGCCCCUUAAGAAAGAAUCCUACUACACUGCCAAAAUUUAUACUUCAAAUCUUUCUCCUAGUCUUCCUUAGUAUGAUGAUUAACCAUUUGUCAGGAUGAUUUGAAUAGAAGAGGGAAUAUCCAGACGUUUCAGGAAUUAUUAGACAUUAGCUCUGAAAUGACAGUUAUUUCUGAAGACCAAAAAUAUCACUGUGUGUGCUCUAUCAGUCAGAGUAGGGGCAUAUGGGGGUCAUAUGGUUAUGAAGUUUUGACCUAUGUCUAUUUCACAAUCAGUGCUAUGGAUCUCCACCCCCAACCUAUGUUUAUCUUCUCUAUUCCAUAGUGAAAAGUUGGUAGCUCAGAAACUGGCAGUCUCCACACUGGUUUCCAGACAUAUAAGGUGAAGUCUAUUAUUAUAGGAAAAGUCACACAGAAGCCAUUAGAAUGGACUCUGUUUACCAAAAUAGUAAACCAAUGCAAUCAUACUCUUGGAGAAAUUAGAAAUAUCAUUGCCACUGUAAAGGUGAUAUAAAAUGGAGUGGUAAUCCAGACAACAUGUCAAUUCCACUUGCCUAUCUGACCUGUGCAGAAGACAGAUGGAUUUUUAAAAAUUAACAGAGAAUUACUGUAAACUUAACUUGGUGAUAGACACAAUUGCAGCUAUUCGAGUAGGUAAACAUAUUCCCAGUACCUGGUACCCAGCUAUUGUUCUGGUGAAUGAUACUUAAAAUUUAAUAGCAUUGACCACUAAAAUUAAUUUCCUUUCAGUUGGCAAGGUCAGCCUUGUUCACUGCACUAGCUCAGGGUUAUAUAAACUCGUAAUCCCUACAGCAUAAUCUUGUCUACAGCAUCGAACAUUGCCUCUCCUUUCCUUACACUGGUCCAUUUUAUGGAUGAUAUCACAUAACAUUGCUUGUGAACCAAGAAACUCAUUUUUGGGAAACAAAGUGCCUUGUAUUUAUGAAAUUUACUGGUGUAAAUUUCCCUAGCCCUGAAACAGUCAAAUUUUAGAAUGGGGUUUUGAAGACUUAGUGUGCUAGUUAACACCUUGCAGGGCUGGGUUGAUCACCUUCAAGAUGUUGUAAAUACUCUUUAUCUGUGACCAUGAUGCUAUUUUCCUUUGCAACCAUAUGGUCCUAUUUUUCCUUAGCCGGUAUUUACAGAUGAGGGAUUCGGUAGGUGGAAAUGAGAGUAGCUAAACCCUAGUGCUCCUAAUGAUCACCUAGCAAAAUGUUUCCCCAAAUUCAUAACUUCAUGGGUUCUGCAGGUUUUCAAGUCUUAAUUCCUAAUGGAAGUAGGAGACUUCCAGCAGGUGGCAUAGUAAUUAUGUCAUUAAGGCUGCCUGGUAAUUUUGGUCUCCCUGAGCCAGCAAAACAAUGAGCAAAGAUAGGGCUGCUGUAGUGUUGAGGUGACUGAUCCCAACUAUCAAAAAGAAAUUACAUUGCUUCUAGACAAUGGAAGUGGGGGGAAAUCAUGUCUAGAAUGCAGGAGCUCCUCUGGUGCAUCUGUUAAUUGUCCCAUGUCCUGUGGUCAAAUUUAAUGGAAAACUACAAGAACUCCAUGUAAAAAUAAAGGUUUUGGUCAUCUUCAUGGACAAGAAAACAUGACUAGCUGAAGUGCUUGCUGAAGGUAAAGGGAAUAUGGUACAGGUGUUGGAAGAAAGAAGUUAUAACUGCCACCUAUGAUCAUGUGAACAGCUUCAGAAAAAUGAACUGUGCUAUGAAGAGUACUUCUCUCAUUGUGAUGUGAGUAUAUUUGUAUAUGGAUAUUAACUGAUUCUUUUGUUUUCCCUCAUUUUUCAUUUUUCCUUUCUUUUUACAUUCCAUAAGUCAACUUUAUAACUCACUAUUUAAAUAACAG